RNAcentral lists this ribosomal RNA (188 nucleotides) under Georgenia soli. RNAcentral describes it as "partial 16S ribosomal RNA". It matches the Rfam family "Bacterial small subunit ribosomal RNA", at positions 327 to 523 of the family's 1533-position model. The record is from RNAcentral. Lineage: Bacteria; Bacillati; Actinomycetota; Actinomycetes; Allobogoriellales; Allobogoriellaceae.
CGGUCCAGACUCCUACGGGAGGCAGCAGUGGGGAAUAUUGCACAAUGGGCGCAAGCCUGAUGCAGCGACGCCGCGUGAGGGAUGACGGCCUUCGGGUUGUAAACCUCUUUCAGUAGGGAAGAAGCCCUUCGGGGUGACGGUACCUGCAGAAGAAGCGCCGGCUAACUACGUGCCAGCAGCCGCGGUAA